AAACCGGUCCUUUUUAGGACCAACAAUUUGUUUUUGAAAAGUGCUG
Molecule: non-coding RNA, 46 nt
Organism: Megaselia scalaris
Lineage: Eukaryota; Metazoa; Arthropoda; Insecta; Diptera; Phoridae
Source: Rfam